RNAcentral lists this transfer RNA (77 nucleotides) under Candidatus Heimdallarchaeota archaeon. RNAcentral describes it as "tRNA-Trp". It matches the Rfam family "tRNA". From Rfam's summary of the family: Transfer RNA (tRNA) molecules are approximately 80 nucleotides in length. Their secondary structure includes four short double-helical elements and three loops (D, anti-codon, and T loops). RNAcentral also lists the same sequence under 3 other names. Lineage: Archaea; Promethearchaeati; Candidatus Heimdallarchaeota. The record is from RNAcentral.
GGGGACUUGGCUCAGUCCGGUAGAGUGGUUGGCUCCAGACCAAUUGGUCGGGUGUUCAAAUCACCCAGUCCCCACCA